This 253-nucleotide ribosomal RNA is filed under the name uncultured Sediminibacterium sp. RNAcentral describes it as "partial 16S ribosomal RNA". It matches the Rfam family "Bacterial small subunit ribosomal RNA", at positions 524 to 776 of the family's 1533-position model. The record is from RNAcentral. Lineage: Bacteria; Pseudomonadati; Bacteroidota; Chitinophagia; Chitinophagales; Chitinophagaceae.
UACGGAGGGUGCAAGCGUUAUCCGGAUUCACUGGGUUUAAAGGGUGCGUAGGCGGGCAGGUAAGUCAGUGGUGAAAUCUCCAAGCUUAACUUGGAAACUGCCAUUGAUACUAUCUGUCUUGAAUGUUGUGGAGGUAAGCGGAAUAUGUCAUGUAGCGGUGAAAUGCUUAGAUAUGACAUAGAACACCUAUUGCGAAGGCAGCUUGCUACACAAUGAUUGACGCUGAGGCACGAAAGCGUGGGGAUCAAACAGG